AGGACGAACGCUGGCGGCGUGCUUAACACAUGCAAGUCACGGGGGCCCGCAAGGGCAACCGGCGAACGGGUGCGUAACACGUGAGCAAUCUGCCGAUCUCUGGGGGAUAGCCAGCCUAACGGCUGGGUAAUACCGCAUACGCUCGUUGGGGGGAGUCCCCUGAUGAGGAAACCUCCGGGGGAGAUCGAGGAGCUCGCGACCUAUCAGCUAGUUGGCGGGGUAACGGCCCACCAAGGCAGCGACGGGUAGCUGGUCUGAGAGGAUGGCCAGCCACAUUGGGACUGCGACACGGCCCAGACUCCUACGGGAGGCAGCAGUGGGGAAUAUUGCGCAAUGGACGAAAGUCUGACGCAGCGACGCCGCGUGUGGGAUGAAGCCUUUCGGGGUGUAAACCACUGUUGCCCGGGACGAAACUCCUCUUUCGAGAGGAUUGACGGUACCGGUGAGGAGCACCGGCUAACUCUGCGCCAGCAGCCGC
RNAcentral lists this ribosomal RNA (478 nucleotides) under uncultured bacterium. Its description in RNAcentral is "SSU rRNA". It matches the Rfam family "Bacterial small subunit ribosomal RNA", at positions 26 to 518 of the family's 1533-position model. The record is from RNAcentral.